UUGAACGCUGGCGGUAUGCUUAACACAUGCAAGUCGAACGGAAACGAUACUAGCUUGCUAGUAGGCGUCGAGUGGCGGACGGGUGAGUAACGCGUAGGAAUCUGCCUGAUAGUGGGGGAUAGCCCGAAGAAAUUCGGAUUAAUACCGCAUAAUCUAUUCGUAGUAAAGUGGGGGACUUUCGAGCCUCACGCUAUCAGAUGAGCCUGCGUAAGAUUAGCUUGUUGGUAGGGUAAAAGCCUACCAAGGCGACGAUCUUUAGCUGGUCUGAGAGGAUGAUCAGCCACAUCGGGACUGAGACACGGCCCGAACUCCUACGGGAGGCAGCAGUGGGGAAUAUUGGACAAUGGGGGCAACCCUGAUCCAGCAAUACCGCGUGUGUGAAGAAGGCCUGAGGGUUGUAAAGCACUUUCAAUUGUGAAGAAAAGUUAGCGGUUAAUAACCGUUAGCCUUGACGUUAACUUUAGAAGAAGCACCGGCUAACUCCGUGCCAGCAGCCGCGGUAAUACGGAGGGUGCAAGCGUUAAUCGGAAUUACUGGGCGUAAAGCGUGCGUAGGCGGUUUAUUAAGUCAGAUGUGAAAGCCCCGGGCUUAACCUGGGAACUGCAUUUGAAACUGGUCAACUAGAGUAUGGUAGAGGAAAGUGGAAUUUCUGGUGUAGCGGUGAAAUGCGUAGAUAUCAGAAGGAACAUCAAUGGCGAAGGCAGCUUUCUGGACCAAUACUGACGCUGAGGUACGAAAGCGUGGGUAGCAAACAGGAUUAGAUACCCUGGUAGUCCACGCCGUAAACGAUGAUAACUAGCCGUUGGGGGGAUUUACCCUUUAGUGGCGAAGCUAACGCGUUAAGUUAUCCGCCUGGGGAGUACGGCCGCAAGGUUAAAACUCAAAGGAAUUGACGGGGACCCGCACAAGCGGUGGAGCAUGUGGUUUAAUUCGAUGCAACGCGAAGAACCUUACCUGGUCUUGACAUCCUGCGAACUUUCUAGAAAUAGAUUGGUGCCUUCGGGAACGCAGUGACAGGUGCUGCAUGGCUGUCGUCAGCUCGUGUCGUGAGAUGUUGGGUUAAGUCCCGUAACGAGCGCAACCCCUAUCCUUAUUUGCCAGCACAUCAUGGUGGGAACUAUAAGGAGACUGCCGGUGAUAAACCGGAGGAAGGCGGGGACGACGUCAAGUCAUCAUGGCCCUUACGACCAGGGCUACACACGUGCUACAAUGGGAAGGACAAAGAGCCGCGAAGCCGCGAGGUGUAGCUAAUCUCAUAAACCUUUUCGUAGUCCGGAUUGGAGUCUGCAACUCGACUCCAUGAAGUCGGAAUCGCUAGUAAUCGUAGAUCAGAAUGCUACGGUGAAUACGUUCCCGGGUCUUGUACACACCGCCCGUCAAGGG
RNAcentral lists this ribosomal RNA (1383 nucleotides) under uncultured bacterium. RNAcentral describes it as "bacterial SSU rRNA". It matches the Rfam family "Bacterial small subunit ribosomal RNA", at positions 29 to 1403 of the family's 1533-position model. The record is from RNAcentral.